Molecule: long non-coding RNA, 628 nt
Organism: Pyrus x bretschneideri (Chinese white pear)
Lineage: Eukaryota; Viridiplantae; Streptophyta; Magnoliopsida; Rosales; Rosaceae
Exons: 3
Source: RefSeq, a predicted model, not a curated record
UUCUAAUUUACCUUUAUAAGUUAUAUUAAAGUUCUAUUUCACAUUUAUUACCUGAUUGUAGUUAAUUAAUUGCAUAUAUGUUGCUUCAAAAUAUUUGAUUACAACUCUUUUAUACUACUGCAGAAGGGAGUUCAAACAUUUUCAAAAAUUGAUGAAAGAACUAUUCCAUGGAAGCAAAUAUUGGAAUUUGGUGGUUCUGCGUUUCUGCAUAGUCGUACCCCAGUGGAACUUAAGAAUAAAUGGAGGAACAUAUGUAGGCGGCGUGUGAAGUUGAAUUGAAGUGGUGAUGAAUUUGAUAGGUGAAGAGAACAUAAAAAGUAGCAGUUGUAGAGGAUGACAUGAUUGACACAGCUGUUUUGUGGCAGGUAGCUUUGUGUUUUGGUAUUUUGUGGUUCCUCCAAGUUGGACGGGCGACGGAGAUUAUCUUUGUUAUGCCAAAGGGGAUGAUGGGCAGCGUUGAGGAAGUAGGAGUUAGUCAUUGCCAGCCCUUGAUGUUAUUUAUGCUGUGCUGACAUGCUAUUUUGGGGAUGUUGUCAAUCUGUUAAUAGAACUGCAUGUAAAUAUUAUCAACAGGUGACAAGACUGUCUUGUUGCCAUAAUUAUUUUGAAAAAAAAAAAAAAAAAAAAA